AAAGUCGUAACAAGGUUUCCGUAGGUGAACCUGCGGAAGGAUCAUUACAGAAUAAACAUGAUGAGUUGUUGCUGGUCCAGUCUCCUGGGCAAGUGCACGCUUUUCAUUUUUAUCUUUCCACCAUGUGCACAUCGCAUAGGUCUGAACAUUUAAUCAGAGUUCGCUUUGGUUGUCUAGAAUCUGCUAUUGAAAAAAUGGCUUUUUCUGAGCUCAGUGCCUAUGAUUUAUUAUAUACACCAAUGUAUGUCAAAGAACGUUAUACUAGGCCCAUGAAGCCUAUACAUUUAUAAUACAACUUUCAGCAACGGAUCUCUUGGCUCUC
This 322-nucleotide unclassified non-coding RNA is filed under the name Basidiomycota sp. Its description in RNAcentral is "partial contains small subunit ribosomal RNA, internal transcribed spacer 1, and 5.8S ribosomal RNA". The stretch from base 1 to 47 matches the Rfam family "Eukaryotic small subunit ribosomal RNA", at positions 1785 to 1831 of the family's 1831-position model. The record is from RNAcentral. Lineage: Eukaryota; Fungi; Basidiomycota.